UUAAAAAUAUUAGCGUCUAUUCCUGUCAUUGUAUGCAAUUUAAGCAAUAAAAUAGUAUUUUUUUCUAAAAAUGAAACCUUUUUAUAUAUUUACUAUUGCUUUUUACUAUAAAAGCAAAAGCAUUUCUUAUCCAAUUACCCGAUUAAUCAAUGGAAUAAUCGUUAGAAUCCUCGAUUACUAAAAUAAUCGAUAGCUGCAGCCCUAAUAAAUUGAUUCAAGCUAAAAUCAAACUUUCUAUAAACAAAUCA
This is a long non-coding RNA of Sander lucioperca (pikeperch), 248 nucleotides long. RefSeq lists it as uncharacterized. The transcript is spliced from 3 exons. Lineage: Eukaryota; Metazoa; Chordata; Actinopteri; Perciformes; Percidae. The record is from RefSeq and is a predicted model, not a curated record.